CCCUUGGAGACCUUUGGCAGCGAAGCGGGGCCGCGUCUCCCCGCAGGCGGCCGUGUAUGGCGGGAGCCGCCCAGGCGGAGCUCCGGGAAGGCGGAGGAGGCCCCGAGAGCCCCAGCGCGAACCCGAAGGCUUCAGGCCUGAGUUUGGGCAAGAGGUGCCCGACGCCAGGACAGCGGUUCGAGAGGGUUGGAGGAACCCGACGGAUGUGCUGAGGCCCACGGCAUCGGGAUCGCAUGGGAGCCGUCGCAGAUCUCAGUGUCCGCAGCGAUCCGCCUGGAGGAGAGAGAGAGAGAGAGAGGAAGGAAGAGAGACGGAGAGAGAGAGAGGAAGAGAGAGGGAGAGAGAGGGGGAGGAAGAGAGUACCGCAAAAAAUUAAAAAAAAAAAAAAGACAUAGUCCUUUGCCCAGCCAACGUUUUUAUUUUGGAAAAUUAUCGAAAUCGAGGCAGAAGAGAGCACAGUUGGAAAUAUAUAUAUAUAUAAUUAUUCUCCGGAAACGAAGAGUGAAGCUAAGGGAUUUUGAAUCCUGUUUAACUCACUGCAGAGUUAUCUCUGCGAGAAUAAAGUGGGAGCAACGUGAAUAUCACGAAGACGAUGAGGGCGGUACUGUCGCCUUCCCAGGAUGAAGGACAUCGAUGACCAUUUGUUUCCUCUGGAACAGUCGGUUGGACUCCAACUUCCUGGUACGGAUAGCUACUGUGUCAUUCAAGAGCAGGUGAUCUUCAGGCAGUCAGGACGAAAAGAGCUCUUCCUUUCUGCUUAAGUGAAACUGUGCUCUUUUGCUCACCCUGUUGUCUGUGACUUUCAUUCUUCGCUGUCAUGAGACUGCACAUUUGAGACCACCUUAUCAUUUCUGGGUUCUCUUCCAGGAUCCUAAAAGGGUAAGUCUGGAAUAAUGGCCUAUAGCUCUGUUCUGUUUUCCCAACUCUCCUUCCAAAUAUAGUACUGUGUAAUGAAUAUCAAAAUGGAGACUCAGUCACUCAGUAAAUGUACUGAUUUCAUCACUCAGUGCGAGUGCUGAUUUUAAGAUUCAGAUAUCAGACUUGCUGGUGUGAGACUUCCACUCUCCUUUCUUGUAUGACAGAGGGAUGUUAGUCCGACCCUGCCUCAGUUUCCCUCUCAUGAGUCUACCUGCUCUUGCUGGGGUGCAGGCCUCACCCAGAGCCCUCCCAGAGCUGCACCUCAGCGUGGACCAGCAGAUCCCAAUUCAUAACCUGCCUGUAUAGACGGGGACAGCCAUCUUUAGUUGUGCUUUCUAGGUCUAUUUUGGUCCCAUGGCAGAGGGCACCCGACUUCUGGCCCUGCUCUAUUGGAAAGUUCACCCUACUUAGUACAGACUAGAGGCACUAAUCAGACAGAGAACAAGGAUAUCACGGGGCCCAACUAUGACUUUGAUGGAAAAAAGGGACACAGAAAACCAGGGGACAGAGUAAUUAGGAAAUCCAAAUCCACUUGGACUACUGGAUCCCCUUUGUCCUCUCUUUUGUCACAAUAAGGCUUUUUUUGGGGGGGAGAGUCUCUUUCUCUUUCUCCCGCUCCCUCCCUCCCCCUGGCCCUUCCCACUCCCCCUCCCUCUCUCUCUCUCUCCCUCUCUCUUCCUCUCUCUCUCUCUCUCCCUCUCGUUCU
This is a long non-coding RNA of Castor canadensis (American beaver), 1624 nucleotides long. The record is from Ensembl. Lineage: Eukaryota; Metazoa; Chordata; Mammalia; Rodentia; Castoridae.